Molecule: ribosomal RNA, 497 nt
Filed under: uncultured bacterium
Lineage: Bacteria
Description: partial 16S ribosomal RNA
Rfam family: Bacterial small subunit ribosomal RNA
Source: RNAcentral
GAUGAACGCUGGCGGCGUGCUUAACACAUGCAAGUCGAACGAAGCACUUUUACAGAUUUCUUCGGAUUGAAAUUUUAGUGACUGAGUGGCGGACGGGUGAGUAACGCGUGGGUAACCUGCCUCACACAGGGGGAUAACAGUUGGAAACGGCUGCUAAUACCGCAUAAGCGCACAGUACCGCAUGGUACGGUGUGAAAAACUCCGGUGGUGUGAGAUGGACCCGCGUCUGAUUAGCUAGUUGGCAGGGCAACGGCCUACCAAGGCGACGAUCAGUAGCCGACCUGAGAGGGGGACCGGCCACAUUGGGACUGAGACACGGCCCAAACUCCUACGGGAGGCAGCAGUGGGGAAUAUUGCACAAUGGGGGAAACCCUGAUGCAGCGACGCCGCGUGAGCGAAGAAGUAUUUCGGUAUGUAAAGCUCUAUCAGCAGGGAAGAAGAAAUGACGGUACCUGACUAAGAAGCACCGGCUAAAUACGUGCCAGCAGCCGCAGUAA